Molecule: long non-coding RNA, 787 nt
Filed under: Vulpes vulpes (red fox)
Lineage: Eukaryota; Metazoa; Chordata; Mammalia; Carnivora; Canidae
Description: lncRNA (ENSVVUG00000023092.1)
Source: RNAcentral
GCAAGAAUACUGAUAAUAGAAUGUGGACAUUUUGCUUGAUGUCUCCUGGUAACAAGGUUGUCAGAUUUAGCAAAGAGAAAUACAGGCUGCUCAGGCAAAUUUGAAUCCCAGAUGACCACAGUGAAUGAUUCAUAGAACAAAUGGAGCCAUUGUUUCCAAGGGGGAUAUAAAACCAAAUAUAAGAUCAAAGUCAAUAUCUAUCAUCUAUCUAUCUAUCCAUCCAUCUAUCUUAUCUAUAAUACAAACAGAAGAGAAAGGAUAACUGAUGAUAAAGAAGAGAGGGGAAACAGCUGCCUGAACAAAAUCUCUGAAAAAACAACAAAGGGUAUAAUUCAUAUCGAUAUGGAAAGAUAUUACCUACUUAAGAAAAAACAUACCUUCCCUACAGUAAGUCACCUGUGCCUCAAGGGUAAAUGUCCGUGGUAUCUUCAAACCCAUCUGCUACAAGAAAAUGUUAAAGCAUAUUAGGAAAAUAUCUCUAAUCCUUUUUUAAUGUAAAAGGUACUUAUGACUUGCACACCAUUAACGCUAGGAGAGUCGAGAAAUGACUGCACGGUUCUAAUGUGAAAGUAUAAAUCAAAAAUUGUAUACUCAGCCAAGUGUUCCUUCAUCUAUAAUCAAUAGAGAGACACAGGCAACUACGCAACAGAUUUGGCAGUUUAACUCCUGGGAGCUUUUUUUUUCUUUUUUUUUUUUUAAUUUAAACAGACAGAUGUACAAACUGACAACGAAAUCUAACCAACCAAGAGAUUAAUCAGCUCAAUAAAUGGAAAAUAGUGAUAAAUCA